GAAAAAUUAAAGGUCAAAAAGAGCCACCUAAUACAUUCCUUGGCUAAGUUUUGAGAACACUGGAAAGUGCUCAUCCUGUAAAAACUCCAACUCUGCCCAAUUUCCGUUUUCCGCGUUUUCUUUCUGGGCACUCCCACGUGAUCCUCCUCAGCCCUGAGUGAUCUGGGUUCCACCACACAGAGCACCGGAAGCGCGAGCUGCCACUCCACGCUGUGCGGAGCAUCCUACAGGAUUAGUCUGAAGCUGUCCUGUUAAGUGUUUUUUGUAGGUGGCGCUGUUGUUUAUCUAUGAUAAACAUUAUUCUAGUGACACAGAUGGGAGUUUUACUUAUUUUACAUAUGUUUCCAAAGUUAGCUUCAGACUCUUUCUUUUUUCUUUUCUUUUCUUUUUUGGUGUUUGUUGCAAAUUUUGCUGGAGUUACCAUUCCACUUUGCCUGUUUUCCCACAGUUGUUUUCAGAUUUUCAGAUAAACGACUUUCAUUUACUUCUGCUUUGAGGCUCUUAGUACAGUGUUUUAAGUGUUAUUUACACCAGAACGGCAAGCUAGCUGGUGUUGCCUUUUACUGAUUCACCCAUAGUCUCCUUUGUGGGGGAUCUGGUGGGUUCCCCACUGCAACUCUUUGGGCCCACACGCCAGCACCAGAGGGGCGCAGCCACGGGCCCAGGCUGGAUGUGCCCGAGCUGUCCUAGCUCCCUUUCCUGUUCCUGGGGCUUUAAAUUACACUUUUACCCCAAGGAAAGGCCCCUGGUUCCAACCACGAGAUGUGAUUAUUCCGGAAGGCUCUGAGGACUCCAAAGAAUUGUAAUUAAAACAUUCCUUUUCAGAUAAUUGAAAGGUGGUGGCAGAGACCCAGGAGUUAAACACUUUUUAGAGCACAUUUAUCUGUACACAGUUUCCUCUUUAAAUCUCUACGCUUUGCCCGUGAGUCCUUCUUUUCUGGAUGACCGAGAGCAAUUCCAGUAAGCGUCUAAAGCGGUCGGUUUGGAUCCACCUGAGGAUCUUUGGGAGCCAUCAGUCCAUCCCACGGAGCAACACGGCACCUGCUCCGUUCUGCCCCAGCGGGUCCCGCCUGCCCUGGGCCCACGUGGCCACCAGGAGCGAUCGCUGCUAAAUGCAGAGCUUGUACCUUUCUUGCUACCUUUUCUCCAAGGAUGAGGAAGAAACUUCUCUGUGCAUCCGCCCUGUUCCUGCCUCGAUUGAUAGCACUCGCCACACUGCUUUGUCAUUACCUUGGUGUCUCCCAUUUCCCUGGGCCGCACGGGCACACUCAAGGCUCACAGUGGCACCACUCUCCGUGGAAUUACUGCUUCUCUAAAGCCUUCCUUAUCCUCCCUUGCACCCUUGGCUCUGAUUAUGCUUUGCCUCUGCAGUCUUCAAAAUGUUCUUGCUGUAUGGUCACCGGCUUUUUGUUCCUGCCCCUCUCAGCAGCCGAAAGUGGCAGUUCUGCCACCUUCAGUCCCUGUCCAGUGUCUGGCAUAUAAUAGGCUCUCAAUAAAUAUGAUUGGCCAAAGGAAAAAGUUCUGGUAUUAUCUUUGUUAUUUUUUUUCUCUUUUUUGCUCCAGAUGUCACCACUGGAGUAACUGGGUCGAGGACAGACUUUCACCCCAAGUUAUCUCAGCUUGCUGUGUGGACUGCUGGAAUACCGCCCCAGAGCAAUAACUGUGGGGGGCAGCAUCAGCCCUCGUGUCAGAGUGCAGCCUGUGAAUCUCGACAUCACUUAAAGGCAAGUGUUCUUCCCUCCUCGGAUACUUC
Molecule: long non-coding RNA, 1753 nt
Organism: Equus asinus (donkey)
Lineage: Eukaryota; Metazoa; Chordata; Mammalia; Perissodactyla; Equidae
Source: Ensembl